GGAGGCUGUGAUUGCUGGCAGGGCGAGCGCUGCCUUGGGUCUCGCUGGCCCGCUCCGGGCCUCAGUUUCCCCAGCUGUUAAAGUGGGGCAGCGACACUGAGCUGCUUGGGAAAGCGCUUGGCGGCGGAAAGGGCCGGGUGUUAUUAGCAGCACUGCCCGGCACUACGCCCCGCUCAGGAGCUCCCAGUGCUUUCCUGAGCCUCCCCGGUGCUCGGCGAGGUCCAUGUUACCCGCUCCCCCGGAGCCCGGCCUACCUCGCUGCGCCCAUUGACGGGGGAAGUGAAACCUGCAUCUUGCUGGUAUUUUCUUUUUGCUCUACACCCCAAAUUGUUCCAUCGAACUAGGGCAGGGGUGCUCCCUGGGCUCCCCAGAAAGCCCUGCCCCGGACAGAUCCUGGGGUCACUGCAGGCAUCUGACUGGUCCCAGGGUAAACACAGCAAGGUUGCGGUGGGGCUGUUGCACUGGAAGUAGUGGAGGCCCAGUGGUGGGAGCCGCUGCCCUGGCUCCCUAUUCAGGCAGCGGAAUCUUUGCUCCAUCGGAUGCAUCAGGCGCGCCAGAGGCCCUGGAGUUUGUGGGCUCGUUGCCAAAAAUGGGUUGGCUCCGGAAAAAGACUUGUAUACGGGGUCCUGCAAAAUCUAAUCGCCCCGGGCCCACAGGAGAGUUAAUCCGGCCCUCACUAUCUGGUAUUGGCCCCUGCAGGACAUCCGACUGGACAGCAUGUGACGGGAUAGGGACGACGCUAUUUAUAAAGUAAACUGUCCCAAGAAAACAACGUGGGCUGAGAAUGCCUUGCCAGAAUAUUGAGCUGCCCACCUCUUCGCAGGGCUGAUCAGCUGACACAACUGAGAUGGAGGACGGUCUUGCAAUUAAAGCACCGGACUGUGAGUCAGGGCUCCUGACCUCUGGGCGUGGCUCUGCCACUGAUUCGCUGUGUGACUGUAAAUAAGGCCUUUAACCGCUCUGUGCCUCAGUUUCCCCAUCUGCAAAAUGGAAGUGCCGCUCGCCCACCAGCGCAGCUACUCUGUCAGUCUGGGAUAUUUUGUACCCUGGUAUUACAGUGUCCCGGUUAUCAUCAUUUUACCAAGUUUCUGUGAUGCCGCCUAUAUCAAUAGCCUCAUUUAAUACCAGUGCUCAAGUUCACUCAGCUUAAUAUUUAGACUUCUAGCGUCCGUGUACAAGCCCGUAUAACAUUUGUCACUAGUGAAUUGUCUGGCUUCA
Long non-coding RNA from Trachemys scripta elegans, 1218 nucleotides. RefSeq lists it as uncharacterized. Lineage: Eukaryota; Metazoa; Chordata; Testudines; Emydidae. The transcript has 3 exons. The record is from RefSeq and is a predicted model, not a curated record.